GUCGCGGUAGCUCAGCUGGUAGAGCAGCGGAUUGAAAAUCCGCGUGUCGAUGGUUCAAGUCCAUCUCGCGACA
This 73-nucleotide transfer RNA is filed under the name Gemmatimonadota bacterium. Its description in RNAcentral is "Gemmatimonadetes bacterium (beach sand metagenome) tRNA-Phe". It matches the Rfam family "tRNA". From Rfam's summary of the family: Transfer RNA (tRNA) molecules are approximately 80 nucleotides in length. Their secondary structure includes four short double-helical elements and three loops (D, anti-codon, and T loops). Further hydrogen bonds mediate the characteristic L-shaped molecular structure. tRNAs have two regions of fundamental functional importance: the anti-codon, which is responsible for specific mRNA codon recognition, and the 3' end, to which the tRNAs corresponding amino acid is attached (by aminoacyl-tRNA synthetases). tRNAs cope with the degeneracy of the genetic code in two manners: having more than one tRNA (with a specific anti-codon) for a particular amino acid; and 'wobble' base-pairing, i.e. permitting non-standard base-pairing at the 3rd anti-codon position. The record is from RNAcentral. Lineage: Bacteria; Pseudomonadati; Gemmatimonadota.